This 9842-nucleotide long non-coding RNA is filed under the name Salmo salar (Atlantic salmon). RNAcentral's name for it is "lncRNA (ENSSSAG00000110479.1)". Lineage: Eukaryota; Metazoa; Chordata; Actinopteri; Salmoniformes; Salmonidae. The record is from RNAcentral.
UUCUGAUUUCUUUGUACUUUAAUUAAUGCAAACACUUGAAUGGUAAAUAUGUGGUUCGUAUAUACGGGCUCACUGUAACACCACGCAGGGCAGACAGAGAUCUGGUAUGACAUUACAAGUUCUUCCUUAAAUACUGGACAGACUUAGUUCCCUCUCCCUGAGGGCCUGUCAUAGUAGAGGCUAGAAUAUGGUUUAGACUUAUUCCAGCCUAUCGUUGGCGUGCAGGUUGGUCCCAACCUCUAGACGCACUCCAGCUUCCUGGCGGAUGUCUCAUCUUGUGACUGCACAAUGCACAGUUCUCUAAAACCCUUACACCCCCAUGCACAUACAUUUCACCCAUAUCCUGUUAUUGCUGUUGUUCAGCAAAAGCUCUUGCAAAACCCUGUUUUAAAGCAUCAGUAUUCUUUCCACAUGACCCACCAUCACAUGAGCCACUUCCUCUUAACAUAUAGCAGUACUCAAUUAUCUAUAGUUUAUAUACUUCAUAUUAUAGCAUAGCUGCUCUGUUAUUUUAUAUAGGUUAUGCUAACAAAUAGUUGGUCAAACCCUAACAAUCCCCCUUUUCACACCUGAUAGGUGUGAAUACAUAAGUUCUUAAAAUUUCAGGGAAAUUUUGAGAUUCCCCCUUUGACACCCCCCUAGGGUGUCACUCAACACAAUUGUAAAUUUUCGAUUUAAUGAUUAAAUGAUUAGUUUAAAAAACCCUCAAGUCCUUCCGGCUACACCUCACUUGUACUAGGUUCACUACCAGUCACCCAGGAACUUCAAACCCUCACAUCAGGAAAGACAAAUAGUACACAGGAUAAAUUCAGAACAUAUUAUUUAAAAAACGUAUAAAAAGAGGACCUUCUUAUGGCAGGGGCUACACCUAACAUGUGUGGGACAGACUCUUUGUCCCAGAACUUAAAACCCUUCACAUCCACCUGCCACUACAUUCAACACAUAUAAGAACAUUUUGGAUAAGCUUUAUUCAAUCACUUCCUCAACAGCAAACCAAGGACCAUUGCCCAGAGCUGGAUUCAGUGUCCUCUGGGGUCACUUCCAUCAAAGGCAUCAUUCCGGUUGCCCAUCUGCUCCGUUAUCAAUCUCUCCAGAACCCUGGAAAUGAGACCUCUCGCACACGGGACCAAACAACAACCACACAACACAAACACAAUCAUACAGGUGAAAGCAGCCCAUAACAACACUUUUCCAUUUCCCAAACAUGAGCUGUGUUAUCAGGAAUGUACGUGCAGCAAUGAACCUAAUCAAUCUACCUACACCAUCCUCUUUUGCCAGUAACAUAUCGAGAGUCAGUCUAUUUUACCAGGUCAUGAGGGAGGUGGUGGAUAAUUGGUCAGAGAACCUCUUUACUGCAUCCCCGGUUUCAUUCAUGAAUCUCUGUUGAUUAUAAAAGAUGUCAUUAAUCCCAUCCACAUUUUUAUUUAUUGUCAACUACCAUAAUAAUGUAGUGUUAAAGCCUUCACAUAUUUGAUUCAUAGCUUUGUAUUCAUCUGGAACUUCCCUGUGGAUGCCAAUAGCAUCCAUCUAGACAAAGCUACUCCCAUCCUGGUCAAAACUCCUCCUGUGUCUACUUUAGCCUCCUAUAACUGGCCUCUGAUGACUAACUUGAACUGGUUGGACCAAUAAACCCGGGGCGCAAGCUCCUAACCACCCUUUGUGGUAAUUUCUGUCGUAUGCGUCCUUUGCUGGUACUAGCCCACCCAACAUCAGUUAUAGGUGCUGUGAGGUUAAGCAUUUUCUAUUCAUCUUUCAAACCUAAGUCAGUCACAUUAACAAUUACUUUCCAGCUAUUAAAAUCAUCCAAGUUCUCGGUGCCAUUCUUGUAUCUAUAACACUGGUACUCAUCAGGAGUUAAGGUGAACCUAGGAAGUUGUUUAAUGUUUACCUUAAAUCCUACAUCUUGAUCUUCUUUGACUCCUUAUUAUGUAAGUCACUCAUCAGUGUAUUAUAUAGUUUAUCUUUUACUUCUUCUCGAUGACAACGGUAUCGUUUGAUUAGUACCGGAAUCUGGUGGAUCUGAAUGUAUCAGAAAGAUUAGACUAUGAUGCAGCUCAGAGUCUCUACUCUUCCCAAAAACCGCCAACCCUCUCCUGCCCUUAGUCUCUCUGCUUGGUACCACCCCAUACUCACACCUCUAGGAGCACACACAGUGAUGAACGGUCGGGAUAGGGAAUCUUCGUUAAGGAGGUGACCCCCGGACCCUGUUGGUACUCGGUUCUUCUCCUAACUCUGUGUGUGAUCAGCAGUGCUCAUAUGUGUACAUACCUUCUUGCAGUGGGUAACGUGGACCCAAGUGACUCUCUCAGCUUUUCUAAUGGCAAAGGCAGUGGUUUAACAGAACCUGGUAUGGGCCUUCCCCACGGGGCUGCUUCCUGUCUUUUCUCCUCAGGGACUGGAUCCACACCCAGUCUCCUGGUUGGAUUGAGUGAAUCACCUUCUCCUGUAAUUCACCUGUUGGACACAAAAUCUUGGACAUACGGGUUUGGUUAACAAACAGUCUUCUCAUGUGCUCUGCUAGUAUAUCUUUAACUUCUAUGUCUACCUGUUCCGGUAUCUCUAACUCUGGUAUUCUAUAGGCUCUACCUGAUUAUCUAAAAUGUCAUCCAUCAUUUAAAGAGAUAGAUAAUAGUAAACCAACACUAGGGAUAAUAUCUUGACCUCAUUUUUUUUUUACCAUAAUCAUGUCCACCAAGUAAGUUGGGAACGCUUCUACCCAUUUGCUAUGCUUAUCUGUUAUUGUUAAACACCCCUUCUUCCCCUCAAUUCGGAAUAGUUCAAUAAGUCCAUUUCCAAAUGUUGGAAUGGAUAUUCUACAAAAAAAUAAUUUGUUUAAGUAAUAUGUUCUUGUUUAAGUAAUUAUCCUAACCUGUUCUAUUGCCUGCUCUACCAUACUCCCCCUAUUUAUACAUGGCUCAAGCCAUGUAUCAAUUUUGCUGCAUAUCUAGACAGUGUCUUUGGUAAGGUUAUUAAAUUAUCCUUAUGUCCGCCCUUCUCUUGUAGGAUUGCCCCCUUGUCACGUCCUGGCCAGUAUAAGGUCAAUUGGUAUUGUAGUUUGGUCAGGACGUGGCAGAGGGUAUUCGUUUUAUGUGGUUCGGGGUGGUGUGUUUGUUGAAGGGGCAUUUGAUUUAAGUAUUCCGGGGUUUUUGGGCACUGUUUGGUUUUCAGGUAUUCUAUGUUUAGUCUAGUAUGUCUGUUUCUAUGUUUGGUUAAUUGGGGUUGGGACUCUCAGUUGAAGGCAGGUGUUGUCUAUCUGCCUUUGAUUGAGAGUCCCAUAUAUUAGGUGUGUUUGUUAUUUGUGGGAGAUUGUUCUGUGUUGAGCCUUAUGCUUUGCAGACUGUCAGUCGAUCGUUAUUUCUGUUUGUUAUUUUGGUGUUCAUUUUGUAUUCAUUAAAACGUCGAGAUGAGCAUUCACAUACCUGCUGCGUUUUGGUCCUCUUUAACCGACGACAAGCGUGACACCCCUUUCAUUUUCCACAUGUCCAAUUCUCCCUGGGGCAUUCAUCCUUAGCUACCCUGUAACAAUUCUCUGUCAAGUGUCUUAUCUGCUUUAAGAUUUAACUACUUCCAACAAAAUUAUCAUAUAUUUUCCUAGCGAAUUUUACCAAAACAUAACUUAAAAUCAAAACUAAAAUACAUGCCUAUGGAGCCGAUAGUCUCUCCAUGAAUUAAUAUCCUAAAGUUAAGCGAUCCAAACUAAAUUCUCUUCCUAUCUUCUAUUCUUAUUAUGUCUUUUCUGUCUGUCCCAGUAUUAUUUCUGUCCUCACCUGUUUAUAAUUUAACUAUGCUGGUCUCCACUCACUAACCGUUAUCUAAUUCUUCUGUGUCUCUUUUAUCUUCUCUUCCUUGCUUAUGCUCUCCUCCUGCUACUUCCAACCCAUCAAGGUCUCAGCAGUGCAGGGGAGGACUUCUCCGUCUGCUGUCUUAUUCCAUAGCUACUUAAAUUUACACUACCCUUGGAUAAAAUAUUUUACUUCCAAUCUAUGAAACCCCAUAUUUUAACGUACUAUUUGACUAAUUUGACCCAAGAUUGCUUAAAAACCCCUUCAGUUUGUCUGCAAACCGGCCCAUUCUGUUUGCUAGGAAUACCCUGCCAUUAUACACAACUGUGUUUAAUGUGCACCGUCCCUGUAAAAAAAUAAAAUUAACUCCACCUGCAAUUCACUUUAAUGACUUGAUAUUUUUCCAUGCAAUGUUCAAUUCACCGGUGUUACUAAACAAUCAAUACCACGACUCAAUAACCAGAAUUUAUCACAGAACUUUUACAAUUCCAUUAUUCAGACCAGAAUCGCUUCCAGCCACAUACUCAUAGGAAAAAAUAUUACCUCUUUUCUAACAGCGUUCUGCCUUUCCUCUAUCGCAAGAUUAAAACCAAUGUUACAACUGUAUCUCUCAUUUCGGCUCCACAUACCUUAUGCAUCUUUCUUACCAUUAGUCCCAACUUUAACCCAUCCAAACUUCCAUCAAAUUCAUACUUCCUUCUCCACCUUGGACCGAAAUAAAUAUUUAUUUUAUAUCAUUUAACUCCAUGUAUCGCUCAUCUCCCGUUAAUUCCUGCACCUCCUUUAAGGUGUUUGUUAAAAUUACUAUCGUAGUUAUUCUGCUCCUUUUCCCACUCUAGAAUUUUUAGAAGGAGUAUUCGUAUGAAUCUUAAAUUAUAUUUUAUUCUAUGUGUUGUUUUUUUUGUUGGUCAAACCCUAACAAUCUAAAUGCAAAUAAAUACCUGCAAUCUUCCGCCAGGGGUACACUAAAAAAAUGCUCCACACAAGUCAAUCACGGUAAAGUAUUUGGCAUCAUGGGGAACAUUAGUCAACAGUGUGUGAGGGUUUGGACCUUCCGCAGGGCAAUCCUGUGCAAUAUCCCUUCUUCGUCUUCAGGCUUCAUAGGAUACUGGGCUGAUCCAUGGGGGUUUAGCAUCCGGGUUUAACUUUGAUGUUCACAGGACUUGCUGAUUUUACUAGCCCAACAUCUGUAUCAUGUUGUGACCAUACCUCUGGUGGUAUGAUGUUUUCCAUUUCUUCUCUAAGUUCACUGAUCAAAUCCCAUUCCUUCACCCAACACUACCUGUUGGCCUGCACUGACCUCUAUUUCCCUAGGAACACCAGUCAUCAUUGUAGUGUUUAUUAUCUUGAUAAAUGCCUUAUCUUCUGAAUGGGAAAAAAUCAACGGAUUGUCUGUUUCAUCCCAUCUCUUUCUCUUAGCUUUCUUCAUCAUAGGUUCCUAGAUCCCUUGAUGUGAACUCCUGAUUUACCAGCGAUGUGAUGUGAGGGACAGAGUCGGAGACGUUGAACCAUUUUUUGCACAAAUUCAGAUCCGUCUCCGUCCAUCACAUCCAUGGCCGCUCCCUGUUUCUCCAAUGAUGACAUACUGAGACAUCAUUGGUGCUUUCCUAGCAUUUGCCCCCAUAGUCCAUAGUUGCUCUAACACGGGAUCCUGAUGAGGGUCAUAUUGCAUUGUGCAGUGAUAUUCAGAUUUUGCUCCCCUCGCUGCUUUAAGCAUUUGGGCUCGAAUGAAUCUGCCCCAUCUGCUUACAGUUCUGUCUAUAUCUGCCUCAAUGCCUCCCGACCAAUAUACGUUAGCUGUUUCUCCUGUAGCUAUCACUGGUAAUUGUAGUCCUAUUCUUUCUAUUAAUACCCCCUCGGGAGAACAUUUAAUUUGCAUUCCCAUUUUGCAUAGAGCAUCCCUUCCUAGCAGAUUAACGGGUCUUUGAUCCGAUACUAAUAUUGGAAUUGUGGCUGAUUUAUCAUCAGCAGUCAGACGAAUUGGAGCAGUCAUUGGAAUUAGCUGCGUAUUUCCCGAGAAUCCUAUUGUUUUGGCAUAUUUACCGGACAUGGGGAGAUGAGAGGCGUAAUUUGAACUUACACAUGUGUAAGUGGCUCCAGUAUUUAUCAUCAUGGGUGUGCCUCUGUUCUCUAUUUGAACCUGCAGCAUAGGUUCUUGGUCAGCUCUUGUGGUUAUCACUGGGAACUGACCCUCCCCUGUAGGAUUCUCUGGGCAUCCCUAGUAUGUUUGGUUAGGCCCUGACCAUGGGUUCACAGGGCCCGAAGGUUGGCUUUGGUUGCCGGGCCAUCCACCAUUCCCGUUUGUAUGCGGCUGCCAGCCACCUGGAUUGUUGUUUGUUGGUGGCCGCCUGUUGUUUGUGUUUCCUCCAGUCAGAUCCUGCCAGGGGUUUGUAGGGCAUUCUCGUCUGGAGUGUCCUGAUUGGUGGCAACCCCAACAGACACCAGGUGGCCCCCUAGGGUUCCUGGGUCCCUUUCUCUGAUCUGCCUGUGUAUUUUUCUGUUGUUUAUUUCCACCAUUCCAAUUAGGGGGCUGUGUGUAUACAUUUACUACUAGCAGUACGGUAGGCAUUUGGGCCCGCCUGGGGGUUGACGGUUGCGGCCCUCCUGGGGAAACGGCAGACAUUGUUCCUACCUCGGGCACAGGGGUGGUUACUGAGGCAUGGACUUUCUUCUUUCCUUUGUUGGUUAAUUCAUCCAGCUGCAACUGGGCCAGCUUUCUCUGAAUGUCUUUUCCUUGUUCAAUCUGUCUCUGUUCGUCCUUCCUGUGUUUUUCCACGGCAUGAAUCACAUAGUCACAGAACUCUUUGUAAGGUUUUGAAGUAAGCCCCACCACAUCCUCCAGUCUGUUCCUUACCGGCUCGGGCAUGGCUUCCAUCACAGAAGUUCGGAACAUUGCUGUCAUUAGUUCAUUUCCUUCUGGAUCUUGUUCUGUUUCCAUUCUCCAUCUUUCCAAAUGUCCAUGUAAGUACGUGGCCGGGUUUUCUGUAGCUCCAAUAGCUUCACCUCUCAGAGCUUUGAGGUCAAACUUCGUUGGGUAUGCUGCCCUUAAUGCACGCCAGACGGCAGCUCUAUACCUGUCGAACAUCAGUCCAUCCUUCGUCACCUCCCAAUCUGUGCCGUUGAUCGCACCAUCCUGCAUGAUUUCUCUCAGUUUCUGCACGCUCGUCACCCUCCCUAGCAAUGCCUUUAUGUCACCCACCACCAGCAAUUUCCCCAUCGUGUAUUCUUCAAAGGUUCUGAUCCACUUCCCUGCUCCCUCAUGGAGAUCUGGCAAGCGGAAAACCAACCCCUCCAUGUCCUGUGCAGCCCAUGGUAUAUAGUGUCCUUGCUCUCCUUUUAUCAGGAUCUGCCACUGUUUUUCAUAAUAACCAGAUUCUUUCCUAGACCCAUUCCUACGAGCCCUGCAAUAUUUCCCUGCAGGCUCAUUUCUCAGGCUCUCAUUCAUACUACGGGCCAAGGCCUCAUCCUGUCUUUCUUGCCUUCUUAUGUUUUCUUCGUGUGUUGAUUUUGACCGUCCCAGUUUCUCUUCUAUUCUUUGUGCCACUAUUUGUCCUUCUCUCUCUAUUUGUCCCCUACAGGAUGGAUCAUUCUCUUCCUCUUCCUCUUCCGCCUCGCUCGGACUAUUACCUGAUGCCCAUUCUGCUAGUGUGUUUUGGCUUUUCCUGGAGUUGCCCUCCGUUUGGUCUUUUGUUAUUUUUGUUUGCAGCUCUGACGUCUCCCUUUCUCCUAUUUCCGUUUCCAUUGCUGUUAGGGCUUUCCUCAGGCCACUAUAGCAAUCGAAACCUUCUUCUUUUGUUCCUAUAUGCUUCAUAGUUCUUUUCUUGCCUUGUUCUGUUGAAUGUGAAGGUGCACACGUUGCUCUAGGUGUGGUGAUCCCUUCCUUUUCUUCCGUCACUUCCACUUCCCCUUUUAUUUCCACGUGUCCAGUUAUCAUGGGAAACUGUCCAUCGGAAUACGGCGGGGGGCUGGUCCCCCACUCCGUUUUCUCUUUGCUUGUGUUAUCGUUCUUCUUUAGUACUUCUCUUGCUGUCUUCAUGCUUUGUAACAAACCCACUCUUUCUUCCUUAAACAUUUUUAGUAUUUCGUUUUCUCUUUCUCGUUUAUUUUUCCUUUUUUGUUUCUUGUCCUUGGGUUUAUAGUUCUUUAUCAGCGUUUCCAUUUCCUCACACACAGUGACAUCCAACGUUCCCACUGCGGGCCAUUUGGUGUUUAAUUUUCUGGUGCGUUUUUCCCAUUUUAUAGACGUUUUUAUUAUUUCUUUUUUACUUAGGGGGUAUCUAGUCCCCAAAAUCUCUACCGGUGUCCUAUUCAUUUUAAUGAUGGUCUAUAGUUUAGCCUUAACUUGUUAAAUCCUCCUUGAUAUUUUUUUUCCUUUUGUUUUUAAUUCUUUGUAAUGUCUAUCCUUCUCAUUUAUAUUUAUUCACUCACUUUAUCCUAUCCUUAUUAUUACUUAUUGUUUUGCUCCUGUUUCACUCUAUUUAUUCUCAGUCCUAGGUCCUACUUUACCAGAUUUCUCCAGACCCCCCCCCCUCUCUCUCUCUCUCUCUCUCUGUCUCUCUCUCUGUCUCUCUCUCUCUCUCUCUCUCCUAUUGUAAUCUGACUCUUCUCGUCCUUUCCCAGGCUGCAGCUCCAUUAGGGUCCUGCAGCUUCAAAGUGUUUAGUUGGCCACUGCUUCCCCCAUACUGUCCUUUAUGGUGCAGUAAUAUCUCUAGUAGGUUCUAUAGACCUAUACCAUGAUGCUGUUCUCUAUGUAUUUGUUGAUACUAUUUAUUCUAAAUAGCCUGAGUUAAUUGUUUUUACCAUAUAGUAUAUAUAUCUUAUGCCUUAUCUGUAGGUUUUAAUCGCUCUACUUCACACACCAGUAUAUACUAUAUGUGGCUUAUUUAAUACUUUAUUCAACAAGUUCUAUGCAUUCCAGAAUAGUUAUUUAACACCUGUAUUAUGUAAAUGUUCUACCUUUUCAUAGUUUCCUUUUAAUCAAUAUCCUUUCAUUUAUUUUUUUCUUCCCAGCAUGCUCUAUACGCAAUCCUUUUCCUAUUACACUCGAUCUAUUGUCACAGAAAGGCUUGCGCAUUCCUCCUCCGGACCGACCGACACACACACACACAAUCUUUAUUUCUCCCUGCCCUGUUUCACUCCCACUCCAGAGAAACUUUCACUCAUUCAAGGCCUUUAUUUUUCACUCAUUCAGAUUACCGACCCCGUUAGCUAGACGGAGCGUUUUAUCUGUAGGUGGUGAACCUAAUCGGGUCGACGUUUUCCUGCUCUCUAACUAUUCACCCAGACCGACCCCCAUCUUGGGGCGAUAUUGUGAAUUUACUUAUUUAUUUGUUUUGCCCGAUCAGCGCAGGCGCAAGCCCCCUCCGCUAAACACCCGACACCAGCAAAGUUCACAGUUUACCACACUUUUUUUAGCCCUCACAGAUGUACAUAUUUAAUUACAUUUAACAACCCCCCAAAAUUCAUGGAUGCAUGCAGUUCUAUUGAAUUCAAAAGCUCUUAGUAUUUCUGUGUUUUUAGGAGUUUUUAAAGAGAGACCUACGUGACGUCCCCUCCGCUGAGACAGAAUCCCUGAAGCAAUCUACACAAACAUUUCAAACUAUCGUAAGAACAAGCUUACCUGUUUAUAGUUGGGUGGCCACCCGUUUGUGAGAUUGUCCAGAGAAACCGUCACCAGCCAAGAACGACACUGUCCGAGGUCUCUUCGAUCUCCUGGCAAGCUCGCCAAAUAUGUAGUGGAAAAUUGUCUUAAGAAUAUAAUACUCUUGCAAGAACUUUGUGAAUUCAAUAUAGACUUUAAUACAGAGUUGCAAAGCCGAGCCGGUCGAUGGAUCAACUGCCUUUCCUGAGCAUCGGCUCUGCUUUUAUACACAUAGAGUAUGGGAGUACAUUCCAUAUGUAAAAGUUACUUCCCUCACGCCCAAUAACGCUUGUUCACGCCCAAUAACGCCCAUCUCUUGAUUCCUUUUUAGGUUAUAAUGGUGGCAGGACCUCUUCAUGUUACACACAAAGAAAUGCAUUGUAUGUUCAGGUUUCAGCCCCUUCCUAUGUCGUUCUGAC